This is a long non-coding RNA of Callithrix jacchus (white-tufted-ear marmoset), 1820 nucleotides long. RefSeq lists it as uncharacterized. NCBI's taxonomy places the organism in Eukaryota, Metazoa, Chordata, Mammalia, Primates, Cebidae. The record is from RefSeq and is a predicted model, not a curated record.
UGCGGGAGAACGGCGGGCUGGGAUUCGCAACGCCGUGGUGUAAUCAGCGCGGCAUCUCGCGCGGGAAGGCGGCGGCCCCUCAGGCGUGGUUCUUACAAGGGAUGCCUGGGGUUGGUCCUGAAGAGACCACCUGGCCGGCCAAGCCGAGGGAGGCGCCGAGCAGCGCUGUUCCUCCUCCCGACGGCAAACGGUCCCCACGCAGGGGUCCCUGCACUUUGGGAGGCCGAGGCUGGAGGGUCACUUGAGCCCAGGAGUUCCAGACCAGCCUGGGCAACAUAGCGAGACCCCAGGAGUUCCAGACCAGCCUGGGCAACAUAGCGAGACCCCAUCUCUUUUUUUUUUUUUUGAGAUAGAGUCUUGCUCUGUCUCUUAGGCUGGCCCGUAGUGGCACUGUCCGGCUCACUGCAACCCCCUGUUCCCGGGUUCAAGCGAUUCUCCUGCCUCAGCCUCCCAGGGAGCUGGGAUUACAGGUGCCCGCCACAAUGCCUGGCUAAUUGUUAUUUCUUAGCAGACACAGGGCUUCACCAUGUUGGCCCAGGCUGAUCUCGAACUCCUGACCUGAGGUGAUCCGCCCGCCUCAGCCUCCCAAAGUGCUGGGAUUACAGACAUGAGCCACAGUGCCCGGCUGAGACCCUAUCUCUCUCUCUUUUUUUUUUUUUUUUGAGACGGAGUUUCGCUCUUGUUACCCAGGCUGGAGUGCAAUGGCACGAUCUCGGCUCACCGCAACCUCCGCCUCCUGGGUUCAGGCAAUUCUCCUGCCUCAGCCUCCCGAGUAGCUGGGAUUACAGGCACGCGCCACCAUGCCCAGCUAAUUUUUUGUACUUUUAGUAGAGUCGGGGUUUCACCAUGUUGACCAGGAUGGUCUCGAUCUCUUGACCUCGUGAUCCACCCGCCUCGGCCUCCCAAAGGGCUGGGAUUACAGGCGUCAGCCACGGCGCCCGGCCGAGACCCUAUCUCUUAAACAGCCUGGGGGGCAGAGAGAGACCCUGUCGCAGAACAGGCUGUUUUCUUACGAACAUAAGAAUUCGUGAAAGGAGUGGCUGGGGGAAGCUGAUGUGCCUCAAAGCCCUGGGGAAGUAGAGACCGGGGAGGACCCCAGAGGCCGCCUCCUCAUCCCCUAGCGGUGGCCUUGGAACCAGGGAAGGGAUUCAGCCCAAGGGCCUGUUCCCCGGCAGCUGGCUUUGUGUUGAUUGCUUAGGUCACCACAUUCAGCACCACAAAUGCUCUGCGGUGUGACCUGAGGCACAGAGUGGGGCCUGGAUUCAUGAGCUGGGUAUGGAGCAGGAAUGAGAAUUCAGAAUCCUUGAAACCACUCCCCCCACCACCACCACCACAAAGACUCCUGCACAGCCUGACUCAGACACGUUGCAAUCUGCUGGCCGAAGGCAAUGGUGUGGACCAGAGACAGGUCAGCCCGUCGGGAGGGUGCACAGGCAGAGAGUCAUCCUCAAGCAGAGCCUCAGGAGGAGGCUGGCUGAUGGAGCCAGAGAGACCCGGUGUAAGCCAGGACCCUGUUAGGAACCCUAUUCUCCUCCCAUCCUGGCCGUGCCUGGACCACAGCAAGCGCUGCACGUCUGAAUCUCAAAGAAACAAUUCAACAUGUGUAAAUGACUCUGACUGCCCUCCAUGGGAAGCAGAUCGUGCCUUCAGUAUUUCUCAACUCCUGACUGGGAAUCACAGGGUUGCCAGGCUGGAAACCUGGACACCUGGGGCCGGAACCCUUCCCUUGGAGCUCUCCCGGGUUUGCUUUCAGAGAUCAAGCCCAGUCUGGCACGAUCAGGCACCCUUGGGAUUCACCGCCUUUAUAGUUACCCUAAAAU